GACGAACGCUGGCGGCGUGCUUAAUACAUGCAAGUCAACUGAACUUGAGGUAGCAAUAUCACAAGAGAGGUGGCGCACGGGUGAGUAACACGUAGGUAAUCUGCCUUUAGGUCUGACAUAAUUCCGCGAAAGCGGGACUAAUAUCAGAUGAUGCAGCGGCUCGACAUCGAGACAGUUGUUAAACCUUCGGGGCCUAAAGAUGAGCCUGCGUCUGAUUAGGUAGUUGGCGGAGUAAAAGCCCACCAAGCCUGCGAUCAGUAGCUGGUCUGAGAGGAUGAUCAGCCACACUGGAACUGAGACACGGUCCAGACUCCGUACGGGAGCAGCAGUAAGAUAUUGCUCAA
RNAcentral lists this ribosomal RNA (344 nucleotides) under uncultured bacterium. Its description in RNAcentral is "bacterial SSU rRNA". It matches the Rfam family "Bacterial small subunit ribosomal RNA", at positions 28 to 371 of the family's 1533-position model. The record is from RNAcentral.